This 385-nucleotide ribosomal RNA is filed under the name uncultured bacterium. RNAcentral describes it as "bacterial SSU rRNA". It matches the Rfam family "Bacterial small subunit ribosomal RNA", at positions 29 to 444 of the family's 1533-position model. The record is from RNAcentral.
AACGAACGCUGGCGGCAUGCCUAACACAUGCAAGUCGAACGAAGCCUUCGGGCUUAGUGGCGCACGGGUGCGUAACGCGUGGGAAUCUGCCCUUGGGUUCGGAAUAACAGUUAGAAAUGACUGCUAAUACCGGAUGAUGUCUUCGGACCAAAGAUUUAUCGCCCAGGGAUGAGCCCGCGUAGGAUUAGGUAGUUGGUGGGUAAAGGCCUACCAAGCCGACGAUCCUUAGCUGGUCUGAGAGGAUGAUCAGCCACACUGGGACUGAGACACGGCCCAGACUCCUACGGGAGGCAGCAGUGGGGAAUAUUGGACAAUGGGGAAACCCUGAUCCAGCAAUGCCGCGUGAGUGAUGAAGGCCUUCGGUCGUAAAGCUCUUUACCUAGGG